UCGGAAUGCCGAACCGUAUUGCAGAAGUGCCGAAUUUCCGAAGUGCCAAAUUUCCGAAGGCCGAACCGUACCAAAUUGCCGAAGUGCCGAAUUUCGGAUGUGCCAAAGUGCUUUGGAUUUCUGAAAAGUAGCAAAACAUGAGAGGGUUGGGUUAGGGGUUAGGGUAGGGUUAGGCUAGGGUUAGGAUAGGGUUACUGGUUGGGGUAGAGGUAGGGUUAGGGGUAGGGAUAGAGUUAGGUUUAGGGGUAGGGUUAGUGGUUAGGGUAGGGUUAGGGUAGGUUUAGUGGUUGGAGUAGGGUUAGGGGUAGGGUUAGGGAAGAGGUACGGUUAGUGUUAGUGGUUGGAGUACCCUAUUCCUAAC
Molecule: non-coding RNA, 361 nt
Organism: Pelobates cultripes (western spadefoot toad)
Lineage: Eukaryota; Metazoa; Chordata; Amphibia; Anura; Pelobatidae
Source: the annotation of a GenBank genome assembly